ACUUGUCUAGCUCAGUUGAUAGAGCGUAAAGCCCUUAACCUUGUGGUUGUGGGUUUGAUCCCGUUUUGGGCG
Molecule: non-coding RNA, 72 nt
Organism: Stylosanthes scabra
Lineage: Eukaryota; Viridiplantae; Streptophyta; Magnoliopsida; Fabales; Fabaceae
Source: the annotation of a GenBank genome assembly